RNAcentral lists this ribosomal RNA (253 nucleotides) under uncultured bacterium. RNAcentral's name for it is "partial 16S ribosomal RNA". It matches the Rfam family "Bacterial small subunit ribosomal RNA", at positions 524 to 776 of the family's 1533-position model. The record is from RNAcentral.
UACAGAGGGUGCGAGCGUUGUCCGGAAUCACUGGGCGUAAAGGGCGCGUAGGUGGCGGCCCAAGUCCAUGGUGAAAGCUCGAUGCUCAACAUCGAGUCGGCCACGGAUACUGGGUUGCUCGAGCACUGUAGGGGCAAAUGGAAUUCCUGGUGUAGCGGUGGAAUGCGCAGAUAUCAGGAGGAACACCGGUGGCGAAGGCGGGUCUCUGGGCAGUAACUGACGCUGAGGAGCGAAAGCGUGGGGAGCGAACAGG